Panicum virgatum (switchgrass) is the source of this 3336-nucleotide long non-coding RNA. RefSeq lists it as uncharacterized. NCBI's taxonomy places the organism in Eukaryota, Viridiplantae, Streptophyta, Magnoliopsida, Poales, Poaceae. The transcript is spliced from 4 exons. The record is from RefSeq and is a predicted model, not a curated record.
UGGCCUCCCAGUUCUCGGUCCCGCCAAUCACGCUCAUCCCGCCCAUCCCGCGUCGGACUGCCGAUUUCCCCACGCUCCGCCCUAUCCGCGCCUCCGCCUGCCCUAGCGCAUCGCCGCCCAGGCCUGUCGUCGCCGUCCGCCGCACGCCGCCCGUCCGCCCGAGCUCGUCGUCCCCGGGGCCCGGCGCCCACGCGCGCGGCCGCCCAGGCCGGCCGCCGGCGCAGCGCCAGCGCCAGCGCUCCCGGCUGGCGGUCCGCCCCAGCUCUGCCGUUCCGGCCGCCUGUCGCGCGCCCACGCGGCGCAUGGGCGCAGGCCGCAGGGGCGCCGCGCGCUGCGCUCGGCAGGGCGCUCAGCGAGAGGGGCGGCCUCGCCUCGCAUCGACGCCGCGCGUUGUGGUGGUCGGCGGCGGGCCUCGCCUCGCAUCGACGCAUCCGCGACCUGGGCGUCGCCGGAGGAGAGCGGAGUUGUGGUGGUCGGCGGCGAGCCCGGCGGGUUCAUGGCGGCCACCCCCUUCUCCUUCCCUCCCCCUCGAUGUGUGCCCCCUUGAUCCGCAGCCCCCACAUGCCACCACCUUCUUCUCCUUCCCUCCCCCUCGAUGUGCGCCUGGCCUAGGUGGGCAAGCAGUUGGAGGGCGCGGAGGCGACGCGUGCGACGACCUCGUGGAGCGUGUUCCGGACGGCGAGGCAGAACACGUCGAAGAAGCUCAUCUCCUUGCCGUUGAGCCCCGCCUCCGAGCAGCGAUUCCGAUCAUUUCUACAAAGGACUUCUUGAUCUGUUGAGUGCUUGAGGGUGGGCAAAGAUCAUUUUGCCUUUUAUCUGAUCUGGGCCAUUCUAAAAUCUUGAUUUUGUUGUCAUGUGAACAUUGAACUGUUCUGAUAUGAGUGUCAUUGCUACCGAGUUCCAACAGUUGAAGAUGCCAAGAAGGAUAAAUUAAUGAUUUUGAAGCUAUGGUACUUAUUGUGAAUGGAGGCAGCGACACUCAUUGAUGACAUCAUUGGGGAUCCCAUUGCAUUGGACAGGUGAAAUUCCCUACAUAUGCAUUUUUUAUAACGCUAUACUACUCUAUUUGUCAUUGAGAGCAAAGAUAAUACUUUUUAGCUCAUGAUCUCUUAUUGUGUUAAAUCUUGUCAAGCUAACACGUUGAGUAAUAGUAUUGAGUAACAUAUUGAGUCAUUAUACCUUAUAGUUGAUCGUGGAGCAAGUGAUGCAUUUAGCUCCGAAUGUCUGAAAGAGAACAAGGUAACCACAGGAUAAACAUGAUAUGAGAAAUAGAUCGUAGAUGCCUUGUGGUGGAGUUAAUUUUACUGCAAAAUCUGAUCUGCAUGUUCUAGCAUAUAAUCCUGGCCUUCUGCAACUCCUUAGUGUUGUUCUCCAUCCUACUCCAUAUGAUGAUCAGAUCAUAUUAAGAGGAGGUGUAUCAGAUACACCUUUUUAUGCUCAAGCGUGAAAUAGUGGGGCAGAUGAAGAGAGGUGCUUGAGCGAGGAAGAACAUAAAAAAUGUGGUGUGAGUUGCUUGACUAGGAUGUUAAAUCACUACACCAGGAAAGAAUAAAUGUUUUUCAUUGAUCCUUGAUACAAGAGACAUAGAAGAGUUAAUUUGCUCGAUAAAAUCUUAUAUUAAAGCAUAUAUUAAGGCCAGGCCACAGCAUCUGUCUCGCCAUCAAUGACCUAAUCAUUGCUAUGCCCAGUGUCCUCAUCCACGCAAAAAAGUGAUCCUCACCUCCCUAGAGGCGGACAUGGACAAGGUCUUGGUCGACGCCGCGCAUGCCGUUGUCCAGGUGCCCGUAUUCAUGCAUAACAUUGCCCCAACUCCUACACCAGCAACCUGCACAAGUGGUUCUUAUGCCCUCCACAAUGGAUUCCUCUACAUCCCAAGGACGACCCCAUAGCCUCGCAGCUCCACCCCACUAUGUCGUGUGAGUACGACAAUGGCCGGGCUGCCCAUAGAGAGAGCACCCAACUCAUUGAGCCUGAUGCCAUUGACUUUAUGAGCAGGUUAGAGGGUGACAUUGAGGGGAUAAGCAGACCAUGACAAGGUGACGGGGAUGGCAUGGCUUGGAGUGUUGGCUCUCUCUAGAAAUGUGUGUAUGUAUGAUUAUGGUCAGGCUGCCUGGUUGCCUUGGCUUUGAGAGCGAUGAGGAUGCUAUGAUGGUGAGAAGGUGCUCUCUAACUGAAAGUGCAGUUGCAUUUAAUGUGUUCAUCACUCUUCAGUUUUCCUGUUAUUCUUUUUUGAGAGCCAGUGUGAUCUCCCAAGCAUGAAAGCAAAUGGCCAGGUCAGCUAACGUUUGAAUCUACAAGAUGUUUGUUGUUUUAGGCAACAGGAAAGUUUUCCCCUAAUGGAUAUAUUUUAUAUAUAGGGGGCGGCAUCCACGUGCACCACGACACGCCGCGCCUCCAUCUUGAUGAUUCAUCAAGUGAGUUUAUUCAUCUGAUUGUUUUCUAGACGUUUAUGUACUUAUCGUUUUGUUAGUGGCCUCCAUUAGGCUGGACAUGCUGCCGAACUUGAUUGAUUUCUUUAUGGGGAUCCAUCCGGACUGAGUUGAUUUCUUCUCUUUUCUCCCUAUAGAUGCUCUGGUCUUAGGGGGGAAAAAGAACAUGGAUACUAAAGAGUAAUUGGGUCCCUAUUUGUUGUUGCCUCUUGAGGAUGUUUUGUUUGCAAUUUUGCAGUCCGACCCAAAGUAAUAAAUUGAAUAAAAAGCUGAUUUAAAUCGUGGUUAAUACUCUCAUCCAAAGUUAAAUGGUUCAGGAAAGUCAAUUAAUGAAAGCCAAAAAUAAAUCUAAAAAUGCAACUACUCUGGAAGUGUGAAGAAAGGAAGCUGCCCCUGGGCGGCGGCGCAAGCGGGUGCGGAAGAGAAGACGAACCCGUGGUCGUCCGUCGCCUGGCCCUGAAGCUGCCGCCGAUCUCCCUUCCCUCGCGUCGAGUGAUGUGGAACGCCAGGGCACCGCCGCCGACCAUGCUCGAUGGACGUGCAAGGUGAUUUCGCGUUCAGCCGCCAUUGUUCAGCGUGAGGAGGACCUCGCCGGAAGGGCCCUUGUGGUGUCGGUGAUUGCGGAUUCCCCAGAAGGCCUCGCGGACUCCAUUGUGCCAGCGAUCGCACAUAGGUUUGAGAUCGAGGCCUUGAUAAGCUGUAACAUUUUGGGGGCGGUUCUCCGCCCUUUUUUCUUCUUAAUAUAUUAUGCGCAGUUCUCCUGCGUGUUGGAGAAAUUUUUUUUCAUAAAUUUUGUAUCGUUGUGGUUAAUUUAUUAUUAGAACUUCGAAUUGAAAUGUUCCAAUGGCCUGACUUCUUCAUAGGAGGUCAGUUUGCUUAAUAAGAGAGAGCGAAAGGGUGACCUGAA